AGUUGUUCGUGUCUUUAUGACGUGAGUAACGCAGCUAACGCAUUAAGUUGACCGCCUGGGGAGUACGGCCGCAAGGUUAAAACUCAAAUGAAUUGACGGGGGCCCGCACAAGCGGUGGAGCAUGUGGUUUAAUUCGAUGCAACGCGAAGAGCCUUACCAUCCCUUGACAUCCAGAGAAUUUUCUAGAGAUAGAUUAGUGCCUUCGGGAACUCUGAGACAGGUGCUGCAUGGCUGUCGUCAGUUCGUGUUGUGAGAUGUUGGGUUAAGUCCCGCAACGAGCGCAACCCUUAUCCUUAGUUGCCAGCACUAAGGUGGGAACUCUAGGGAGACUCCCGGUGAUAAACCGGAGGAAGGUGGGGACGACGUCAAGUCCUCAUGGCCCUUUCGGGAUGGGCUACACACGUGCUACAAUGGCGCACACAAAGGGCAGCAAGCUAGCGAUAGCAAGCGAAUCUCAAAAAGUGCGUCGUAGUCCGGAUUGGAGUCUGCAACUCGACUCCAUGAAGUCGGAAUCGCUAGUAAUCGUGGAUCAGAAUGCCACGGUGAAUACGUUCCCGGGCNUUGUACACACCGCCCGUCACACCAUGGGAGUGGGCUGCACCAGAAGUAGAUAGCUUAACCUUCGGGAGGGCGUUUACCACGGUGUGGUUCAUGACUGGGGUG
RNAcentral lists this ribosomal RNA (663 nucleotides) under uncultured bacterium. Its description in RNAcentral is "bacterial SSU rRNA". It matches the Rfam family "Bacterial small subunit ribosomal RNA", at positions 818 to 1482 of the family's 1533-position model. The record is from RNAcentral.